Molecule: long non-coding RNA, 522 nt
Organism: Poecilia latipinna (sailfin molly)
Lineage: Eukaryota; Metazoa; Chordata; Actinopteri; Cyprinodontiformes; Poeciliidae
Exons: 2
Source: RefSeq, a predicted model, not a curated record
GAAUGUCAAUGUUCUGCAAAAUCCUGCGAACGAGCCAUCAUUUGAUCCAGGUGUGUUGAACCAGGGAGAGAACUAAAACAUGCAUGGCUCUGGCCUUUGAGGACCCUUCUAUUACUAAUACUAAUCCAUUACAUCAUGAAUCACUACAAGUAGGAAGUGCUGGGCUGACCCCUGUCAUACAUCUGUCCUAGAUGUUGGGAGAAAAGGACAAACUAUGUCUUCAGCCACAAGGGGGCAGAAAAGCAUCACCAGCCGAGUUUGUAAGCGUCAUUUCAAUGAUGUCAGGGGAGAACGUGGUUCCAGGCUCUGUCUUGUGUUUGCCAUAGAAGGACAUGGUGGUGAGAAGUGUUGCUGCCUUUGGCAAAGAGAAGCUACAAAUCACAGAGGCUGGAUGCCUGACAGAAAGCUGCAGAAUCAGAUACAACAGAGAAAAACUGAGGUUAUGUUUUUGCUAAUGUGCUGAAAUGUCAUCCAUGAUGAGGACAUUUUAGUAUUGUUGUUUUUAGUUCAAGAUUUAAUGAU